This 92-nucleotide transfer RNA is filed under the name Shewanella sp. NIFS-20-20. RNAcentral's name for it is "tRNA-Asp". It matches the Rfam family "tRNA". From Rfam's summary of the family: Transfer RNA (tRNA) molecules are approximately 80 nucleotides in length. Their secondary structure includes four short double-helical elements and three loops (D, anti-codon, and T loops). Further hydrogen bonds mediate the characteristic L-shaped molecular structure. tRNAs have two regions of fundamental functional importance: the anti-codon, which is responsible for specific mRNA codon recognition, and the 3' end, to which the tRNAs corresponding amino acid is attached (by aminoacyl-tRNA synthetases). tRNAs cope with the degeneracy of the genetic code in two manners: having more than one tRNA (with a specific anti-codon) for a particular amino acid; and 'wobble' base-pairing, i.e. permitting non-standard base-pairing at the 3rd anti-codon position. Lineage: Bacteria; Pseudomonadati; Pseudomonadota; Gammaproteobacteria; Alteromonadales; Shewanellaceae. The record is from RNAcentral.
CGAGCGGUAGUUCAGUUGGCUAGACUCUUUGUUUAGAGAAAGUCGGCCUGUCACGCCGGGGGUCGCGGGUUCGAGUCCCGUCCGCUCUGCCA